This 253-nucleotide ribosomal RNA is filed under the name uncultured bacterium. RNAcentral's name for it is "partial 16S ribosomal RNA". It matches the Rfam family "Bacterial small subunit ribosomal RNA", at positions 524 to 776 of the family's 1533-position model. The record is from RNAcentral.
UACGGAGGAUCCAAGCGUUAUCCGGAAUCAUUGGGUUUAAAGGGUCCGUAGGCGGUUUUAUAAGUCAGUGGUGAAAUCCGGUAGCUCAACUAUCGAACGGCCAUUGAUACUGUAAGACUUGAAUUAUUGUGAAGUAACUAGAAUAUGUAGUGUAGCGGUGAAAUGCUUAGAUAUUACAUGGAAUACCAAUUGCGAAGGCAGGUUACUAACAAUACAUUGACGCUGAUGGACGAAAGCGUGGGGAGCGAACAGG